Molecule: long non-coding RNA, 1848 nt
Organism: Triticum dicoccoides
Lineage: Eukaryota; Viridiplantae; Streptophyta; Magnoliopsida; Poales; Poaceae
Exons: 8
Source: RefSeq, a predicted model, not a curated record
AUCCUAGAUACAAUGGACUAUAUUUAUUCAUGUUGCCUAUAUCUGUCUGCAAGCUCACCAGCCAUUCCCUCCAUUUGGAUUUUAGUAGAUAUAAUGGACUAUAUUUACUCACGUUGUCCACAGCCUAUUUGAAGAGAUUUCUCUUUUAGUUCAUUGGUAUGAAGUUGUUGUUUCAUAUAUAUCUAUGCAAUAGCAGUUUGAUGUAGACAAAUAUGCAUGUCAUGGCCUUCUAUUCUUGUCCUUUUCAUGUUUAGAGAUCAGCGCACUCAUUAGAUUAAAUUUUGAUAUUGCAUCUUUAAGCACUUCCUGAGAAUUUUAGAACAAUGUACAAGAUUUUGGACGAGGUUCAUCUGCGUCAAUGUUUGUGGCUGGGUCGCUGGGUACACAAUCCAUUCACCGUGUAAGGUUCAGUCAACUCCUUUGAGGUGCUUAACAAGUAACGGAGGUUUUGGUGUCACAUGUACCCAGGGAAAGGGUGUAAAGACUAUACAUGUCAAAUCCUCAUAUGAAAUGUUGAUCUGUUGUGCUUCUAGAAUUAUGGAUUUCUGAAUAAUUAAAUGACCAGUUAUGCAAUACAAUAUUCCCAUAGUAUUGAAAUCUUCUAUUCUUCAAAGUGUCCUUCAGAAAAUGGCACUUGCACUUAAUAUGGGACACUCCAAAUCCAUAUGUGCAGGCUAUAUAUGAUAUUUUCUCCAUAAAGAGUCAGCAAUGACUUGAUUUAUAUUUCCGCUACUUGUCAAUACGAUGGCCCGCUGGAAAUAAAUGAUGUUUGGCCAUCACUUAUACUUGGGAACUACUUUUCAGUGAUAGCUGUGUUGACUAAGAGAACUACGGCGGGCUUACGCUUACCUGAACUAUAUUCAAAACUAUCAGAGUGUACAGUGGAUUAGAGCAGAUUACAUCAGCCUUAAAGCAGACUGUUGGUCAUUAACGGUUAUCUAUGGCACCAGAUUCUUAAAACAAUUCACCUCACAACACUUGUUGGCCAAAGAAGUUGAGGAAUUAAUGAUGUGAUAGGAGUUGUGUGCUGAGGAGAAACUAUUCUCUUGCAAAUCGGAUAGUUGUUGUAGGAAUUAAAAAGGCACAUGAUUGUAUUGUUGUUGUGGGAUUUUGUUUCUACAUGUUCCUCGACCCUAAUGUCUACAUGAGGUGUGAGUUCAACGGAUCGUGGAAAUUACAUUACUAAUAGAAAGAUGCCGCAGCAAAAAGAAUGCUCUCAGCCUUGGACGAUCCGUUCACUCGAUUCUUGAAACCAUUACCUUUUCUGAAGGGUCCUCGAGGAAACUCAAUAGAUGGCUACAGAUGUUGCUAGGGGUCUUCGAGGAAACCCAAUAGAUGGCUUUUUCCUGAAGUUCUCCAUUGGUGCGGCGGGGCUCAGAGGGAUGGCCAGGCGGCGGCCAGCAACGGCGGGUUGGGGAGGUCAAGAGGAAGGUGUGGCAGAGAGGCGGCGCACGAAAGUUUGCAGUACAUUACACAAUUUUGUUUGCUAUUCAGUAACUAAUGCUAAAGUUUAUUCCUACAACUUCUACAUGAACAACUCCCUGUUUACUAAAGGCAAAAACUCAUCCUUGAGCCUUCCUGCAAAUGUGGGCUAACACACAAUUCACUUCAUGCCUUGUUCAUAACAUCAUAUUUCUCAACCUAAUGGCAUCUGCCAAGGAUCUCAAAAGCUGAUGCGUUCAACUUGUGUUUUUGUCGUGUGUUCAACAUGUAAUGUCAUUUUUGUAGGCUAAUUUCACUUUCGAUGAUCUCACGAUAAAGCGACCAUGGAACGAGAAGGUGAGCUAAAAAUCAUCUUGUUGUUUAUUGUUGCAAAAUUUCCUGUAUGUGUAUCUAUAGCGAGAGCAU